GUCCACGCCGUAAACGUUGGGCACUAGGUGUGGGGUUCUAUCGACGGAUUCCGUGCCGUAGCUAACGCAUUAAGUGCCCCGCCUGGGGAGUACGGCCGCAAGGCUAAAACUCAAAGGAAUUGACGGGGCCCGCACAAGCGGCGGAGCAUGUUGCUUAAUUCGAUGCAACGCGAAGAACCUUACCUGGGUUUGACAUGUAGGGAAAAGCCGUAGAGAUACGGUGUCCUUCGGGCCCGUACACAGGUGGUGCAUGGCUGUCGU
Molecule: ribosomal RNA, 261 nt
Filed under: uncultured bacterium
Lineage: Bacteria
Description: partial 16S ribosomal RNA
Rfam family: Bacterial small subunit ribosomal RNA
Source: RNAcentral